UUUCUAGCCCGAUAGUGAGAUUUUGACCAGAGGGUUGGAAUGGAAUUCCGGAAGUUGCAGUAGUUCCGCCAUGUCAUUUGGGAUGUGUGUGUAAAAUUUUAGGUCAUUUGGGCAUGGUUUGGUUAGGUUUUUGAUCGAAAACAUAUUUUGAGGAAAUUUGGAGUUCUUAUACUUAAACCCAUGAUUCAAUUCGAGUUUCCAAUGUUAUUUUAGGUGUUUUAGGGAUUUGUGCAAGUUUGAACAAGGUUUUAGGAUAUGUUGGUCCUUUUGGUUGAGGUCCCGGGGGCCUCGGGCGAUUUUCGGAUGGUCAAUCGGACCAAUUUUGACAUUUGGGAUUUGCAUAUUUUGUUGUUCAAGUGUUGCAGAAAAUAAGCUUUCACGAUCGAGUGGGUUGCAUUGCGAUCGCGUAGGAGGAUUUUGGUAUGGCUAGAGUUUAUCCUUCACGUUUGCGUAUGUGGUCUCGUGUUCGUGGAGGGCUUAGAUCUUGUGCUUCACCUUCGCAUGAAGAGUUCUGCGUUCGCGUAUAAGGAUUUGGGGUGCAGUGGAAUUGGCCCUUUGUAUUCUCAUAAAGUGUGUCGCAUUUGCUUAGGUCUGGGAGCUAAUGCAUUGCAUUCGCAACAUAGGUAUCGCGUUCGCAUAGAGUAUUUUUGGAGUCGUUCGCGAUCGCAAUGAAGAGAUAUUAGAACGGGGCAGAAAGUUUAUAAGUUAUUUCAUCCGUGAUUUUGAGUCAUUUUUCCUCCAUUGCUGAGCAUUUUGAGAGCUUUUUGAAGUGGGUUGAAGAAGGAUUCAAGGGGAAUCACUUGGAGGUUACAUUUUUGACUUCAUAACUCAUUUUAUGUGAUUAAAUACCUAAUUAAUUGUGAGAAAUGAGGGAAAAAUGGGUAAUUAGGGCUUGAGUUUAAGAGGCAUGUAAAUGAGGUUUUGAGGGGCUAUUUCGACUCCGAUUUUUGUGUUCUUGUUAUGCAUAGACUCAUGAGAGUAUGGGGUUUCCGAAAAUAUAAAUUUCACCCGAUUCCAAGACGUUGUCCUGAGGGGCAUUUUGGUCAUUUUAUAUAAUUUCACGUAGUAGCUUAGAAUGUAAUUAUAUAAUCAGUUAUUUGAGGUGUUAUUCACAAUAUGCAAUUGAAUUGAAUAGAUUUGGUCCAUUUGAAGUCGGAUACUCAUGGCAAAAGCAUGGGUUCUAGUUGAUUUUGAGCCGGUUCGAGGUAAGUGGCUUGUCUAACCUUGUGUGGGGGACUUUUCCCCUUAGGAUAUGAUAUUUGGUAAUUGAAUUGCCUUGUGCGCGAGGUAGCGAGCGUGUACUACUGCAAAUUGUUGGUAAUUCAGUUUUUCUUGAAGUACUUAUUAGCAUGUUUUCCCUUCCUGCUUUAUUACACUUGCAAAUUUAGCAUGUUGCUCGUUAGAAGAGCAUGUUUAGUUGACUUAAAUUGCCUAUUUGCUUAAAUUGCCUUGUUCGCAUUAUGUGAAGCAUGUUAGGCUAGGACUAUUGUUGCCUUGAUAUGAAAUUUCAUUCCUUGAAUAUCUUCUUGUUGUUGCUGCGUAUUUUUAUUGGAACUACAGAUGUAGGAUUCCGGUAGCUCCCC
This 1583-nucleotide long non-coding RNA is filed under the name Nicotiana benthamiana. Its description in RNAcentral is "long non-coding RNA (NBEN_LNC036833)". The record is from RNAcentral. Lineage: Eukaryota; Viridiplantae; Streptophyta; Magnoliopsida; Solanales; Solanaceae.